GCUCAUUAAGAUGGGUAUCCCUACAUAGCGGGUGGGACCCACGGCGAAUGGUUCAUCAAGUCUUCAAAAAAGAAUAUAUACGAUUGCAUUGCAAAUACUAACGGAUGCGAUCAUACCAGCACUAAUGCACCAGAUCCCAUCAGAACUCCGCAGUUAAGCGUGCUUGGGCGAGAGUAGUACAAGGAUGGGUGACCUCCCGUGAAGUCCUCGUGUUGCAUCCCUC
RNAcentral lists this ribosomal RNA (223 nucleotides) under Arabidopsis thaliana (thale cress). Lineage: Eukaryota; Viridiplantae; Streptophyta; Magnoliopsida; Brassicales; Brassicaceae. The record is from RNAcentral.